AACCUUGGAGAUAGAAAGAAAGUGAUAAACUUAUUGUAUCAACUUCUGCUGUUUAAAAAUGUGUUCAAUCUUCUGAACUGACACGCCAGCAACAACCUGUACAGUAUUAAAUAGUCUUGUUUAACACAUCCUUUGCAAAUGGUGAUGUAAAUGGUAUCUGUUCCUUAGGCCUCUGAAAAGUGGGUAUUUUGUCUUUAAUACAUGAACCACAUUCAGGCUAACAGUUGAACUUCACAUGUUUCAAAAGAUUUGCUUUCACAAACUCAGCCGAGCUUAUGAAAAUCUACCCUCUGCUGCUGAAAAAGGAAGAGAAAGUUUGAGGCAGGCAUCAUGUUAUGGGUCUGCAGAUUGCAGCCUUCGGAAGGACAGCAUAUGCAGGAGGAGCUUGCGGCAAGGCCUACAGUGUUUACCAGCUCAUAGCAGUCAACGGAAGACUUUCCCAUGAAAUCCAAUCACAAAAUAGUUGGUGCAGUAAGUAUCCCAUUUCAAAAUGUAGUCUAGAUGCUGAUUUGACUUUGAUAAUGCAAUCUGUAUUUUUCUGAGCAUGCUAUUAGGGUGGCCACAUGUCCUACUUCACAGAGGACAGUCCUCUGUUUAAGGGCUGCCAUGUCCAAGUCUGAGUUAAAGGGAGGGACAGCAGGGGCUUGAAGCAGACUGAGUGACCUAGUCACAGUCUUCCUCAAAGUGGUAAGGUGUAUUUCUUUUUUAAUUAUAGCAACUGGAUUGUAUCCAAUGCAGUGCUAAGUAACCAUCUUGUCAGUACCAGGAUUUCCACUUGCAACAGGACUUCCCUCCCUCCUUCCCCUGCUCCCCCCCCCAGUACAUAUAGAAAUUUUCAUAUUCAAAUCAUUUUAUUUUAAACAUAAAUAGUGUUCUCUAUAAAUAUGUAUCUAUUUUCCCUAUAAGUCAACAGUUACUGCAGGUUGAAAACUCUGAAUUCCACCCUCCAACUGAGAAUGUGUGAACAAGCAUGUACAUAAUUUAGGAACAAGUAUUUGAUUUCCAUAAUCAUUAAGCUACUGCUCACAAUAUUUUUACUUCAGAAUAGCCCCGCUGAUGUAGGGGAAUCUCUAUACAUUAUAAAUAAGUAGCCUGAGAGUGCCCUCAGGCAAUCCUAACUUCAGGUUAUGCCCCCUGGGUAGUACAGGAUACUUCAAAGCUCUUUGGCAAACCACAGAGCUAUGCUGUCAGUAAAUAAUGUCUGUGUAGUGAUUCCUUCGCAGUGUGAGAGGCCACUGGAGAGAGGCAGAAAUGAACCUUAGCCAGAAUCCUAUAUUCAUUCAGUGGUUGAUCCUACCAAUUAUGAUGGCAUACCCUGCUAUUUUUAUAGGAAAAGAGGUGCCAGAACUCACCAUGAACACCUUCCUUGUUCUCUUAUAAUGGCAAUGGCAUCCACCUGAAAGGUGCCGGAACUGAUGAAAAAAGUCCCAAUGGCAUAGCAUUAUGCCCACAAAAAAUGCCUCACAUACCCACCAUUUCCCCCUCCAGUCACAACAAUAAAGCAAUUGCAGGUACUGGAUGAGCUCCAAGCAUCCAGACUGGCCUUUGAUUUGCCUUAAUAGUAAGGUUUCAGGCUGGGACUUUGCCUGGGCUACUACAAUCUUCACUGACUCAGACUUACCCUCUUAAUUCUGACCAACUUCCUAGAUCCCACUUAUAGGCUUCCUUCAGCUCCAUGUGUCUGUGUGCACAUGUACAUGCUCUGUGCAACAUUAAAAUUGCAUGUGUAUGAAAUCAUUGGCACCCCAGCAGGACUUGAACUCUUUUUCUGGGGAGCCUCUGUAUUCUACACACAUUCCUCCUGGCAAUUCAGGCCAUAGAUUGUGCAGUUCUCUACUCCUUGGAGCAUGCUUCUGCACUUUGUUUAUACUUGAUAAGGCGAGGAUGUGGUUGCUGCAUUCUGGUGGGUGCCCUUGCACAUAGAUAACAUGAGGAUGUC
Podarcis raffonei (Aeolian wall lizard) is the source of this 1939-nucleotide long non-coding RNA. RefSeq lists it as uncharacterized. The record is from RefSeq and is a predicted model, not a curated record. The transcript has 3 exons. Lineage: Eukaryota; Metazoa; Chordata; Lepidosauria; Squamata; Lacertidae.